RNAcentral lists this transfer RNA (76 nucleotides) under Bacillus atrophaeus UCMB-5137. RNAcentral's name for it is "tRNA-Gly". It matches the Rfam family "tRNA". From Rfam's summary of the family: Transfer RNA (tRNA) molecules are approximately 80 nucleotides in length. Their secondary structure includes four short double-helical elements and three loops (D, anti-codon, and T loops). Further hydrogen bonds mediate the characteristic L-shaped molecular structure. tRNAs have two regions of fundamental functional importance: the anti-codon, which is responsible for specific mRNA codon recognition, and the 3' end, to which the tRNAs corresponding amino acid is attached (by aminoacyl-tRNA synthetases). tRNAs cope with the degeneracy of the genetic code in two manners: having more than one tRNA (with a specific anti-codon) for a particular amino acid; and 'wobble' base-pairing, i.e. permitting non-standard base-pairing at the 3rd anti-codon position. Lineage: Bacteria; Bacillati; Bacillota; Bacilli; Caryophanales; Bacillaceae. The record is from RNAcentral.
GCGGAAGUAGUUCAGUGGUAGAACAUCACCUUGCCAAGGUGGGGGUCGCGGGUUCGAAUCCCGUCUUCCGCUCCAA